UACGUAGGGGGCAAGCGUUGUCCGGAUUUAUUGGGCGUAAAGAGCGUGUAGGCGGCCAAGCAGGUCCGCUGUGAAAACUCGAGGCUCAACCUCGAGACGUCGGUGGAAACCGUUUGGCUAGGGUCCGGAAGAGGAGAGUGGAAUUCCCGGUGUAGCGGUGAAAUGCGCAGAUAUCGGGAAGAACACCCGUGGCGAAGGCGGCUCUCUGGGACGGUACUGACGCUGAGACGCGAAAGCGUGGGGAGCGAACAGG
RNAcentral lists this ribosomal RNA (253 nucleotides) under uncultured bacterium. Its description in RNAcentral is "partial 16S ribosomal RNA". It matches the Rfam family "Bacterial small subunit ribosomal RNA", at positions 524 to 776 of the family's 1533-position model. The record is from RNAcentral.